CAGGUAGAACCCACAGGUAGAAUCCACAGGUAGAAACAACAGGUAUAACCCACAGGUAAAACCAACAGGUAGAACCCACAGGUAGAAACAACAGGUAGAACCCACAGGUAGAACCCACAGGUAGAAACAACAGGUAGAACCCACAGGUAGAACCCACAGGUAGAAACAACAGGUAGAACCCACAGGUAGAAUCCACAGGUAGAAACAACAGGUAGAACCCACAGGUAGAACCCACAGGUAAAACCAACAGGUAGAACCCACAGGUAGAACCCACAGAUAGAACCCACAGGUAGAACCCACAGGU
Long non-coding RNA from Sphaeramia orbicularis (orbiculate cardinalfish), 304 nucleotides. RefSeq lists it as uncharacterized. The transcript is spliced from 3 exons. The record is from RefSeq and is a predicted model, not a curated record. Lineage: Eukaryota; Metazoa; Chordata; Actinopteri; Kurtiformes; Apogonidae.